Molecule: ribosomal RNA, 484 nt
Filed under: uncultured archaeon
Lineage: Archaea
Description: bacterial SSU rRNA
Rfam family: Archaeal small subunit ribosomal RNA
Source: RNAcentral
GUAAAUCGGGCUGUCCAUCAGUUUAAAUAACUGCUGUUAGAAAGGGCCGGGCAAGACCGGUGCCAGCCGCCGCGGUAAUACCGGCGGCUCGAGUGGUGGCCACUAUUACUGGGCUUAAAGCGUUCGUAGCUGGUUUGUUAAGUCCCUGGGGAAAUCUUCCGGCUUAACCGGAAGGCGUCUCAGGGAUACUGGCAGACUAGGGACCGGGAGAGGUGAGGGGUACUCCAGGGGUAGGAGUGAAAUCCUGUAAUCCUUGGGGGACCACCUGUGGCGAAGGCGCCUCACCAGAACGGCUCCGACAGUGAGGGACGAAAGCUGGGGGAGCAAACCGGAUUAGAUACCCGGGUAGUCCCAGCCGUAAACGAUGCGCGUUAGGUGUAUCGGUGACCACGAGUCACCGAGGUGCCGAAGAGAAAUCGUGAAACGUGCCGCCUGGGAAGUACGGUCGCAAGGCUGAAACUUAAAGGAAUUGGCGGGGGAGCAC